RNAcentral lists this ribosomal RNA (253 nucleotides) under uncultured bacterium. RNAcentral's name for it is "partial 16S ribosomal RNA". It matches the Rfam family "Bacterial small subunit ribosomal RNA", at positions 524 to 776 of the family's 1533-position model. The record is from RNAcentral.
UACGAAGGGGGCUAGCGUUGUUCGGAAUAACUGGGCGUAAAGCGCAUGUAGGCGGAUUUUUAAGUCAGAGGUGAAAUCCCAGGGCUCAACCCCGGCAUUGCCUUUGAUACUGGAGAUCUGGAGUCUGGGAGAGGUGAGUGGAAUUCCGAGUGUAGAGGUGAAAUUCGUAGAUAUUCGGAGGAACACCAGUGGCGAAGGCGGCUCACUGGCCCGAGACUGACGCUGAGAUGCGAAAGCGUGGGGAGCAAACAGG